UACAGAGGGUGCGAGCGUUGUUCGGAAUCAUUGGGCGUAAAGCGCGUGUAGGCGGUUAUUUAAGUCGAUUGUGAAAUCCCUGGGCUCAACCGAGGAAGUGCAGUCGAAACUGAAUAGCUAGAGGAUGGCAGAGGAAGGUGGAAUUCCAAGUGUAGAGGUGAAAUUCGUAGAUAUUUGGAGGAAUACCUGUGGCGAAGGCGGCCUUCUGGACCAUUCCUGACGCUGAGACGCGAAAGCGUGGGGAGCAAACAGG
This 253-nucleotide ribosomal RNA is filed under the name uncultured bacterium. Its description in RNAcentral is "partial 16S ribosomal RNA". It matches the Rfam family "Bacterial small subunit ribosomal RNA", at positions 524 to 776 of the family's 1533-position model. The record is from RNAcentral.